Molecule: ribosomal RNA, 420 nt
Filed under: Fusobacteriota bacterium
Lineage: Bacteria; Fusobacteriati; Fusobacteriota
Description: Fusobacteria bacterium partial 16S ribosomal RNA
Rfam family: Bacterial small subunit ribosomal RNA
Source: RNAcentral
UGGGGGAUAUUGCACAAUGGGCGAAAGCCUGAUGCAGCGACGCCGCGUGGGGGAUGAAGGCCUUCGGGUUGUAAACUUCUUUUGCUCUGAACAAGGCAUGCCUUUGGGGUGUGUUGAGUGUAGGGGUUGAUUAGCGCCGGCUAACUACGUGCCAGCAGCCGCGGUAAUACGUAGGGCGCGAGCGUUGUCCGGAAUUAUUGGGCGUAAAGGGCUUGUAGGUGGCUGGUUGCGUCUGUCGUGAAAGCUCAUGGCUUAACUGUGGGUUUGCGGUGGGUACGGGCUGGCUUGAGUGCAGUAGGGGAGGCUGGAAUUCCUGGUGUAGCGGUGGAAUGCGCAGAUAUCAGGAGGAGUACCGGUGGCGAAGGCGGGUCUCUGGGCUGUUACUGACGCUGAGGAGCGAAAGCGUGGGGAGCGAACAGG